UACGUAGGUGGCGAGCGUUAUCCGGAUUUACUGGGUGUAAAGGGCGCGUAGGCGGGGGCGCAAGUCAGGUGUGAAAUCUAUGGGCUUAACACAUAAACUGCACUUGAAACUGCAUCUCUUGAGUGCUGGAGAGGUAGACGGAAUUCCUUGUGUAGCGGUGAAAUGCGUAGAUAUAAGGAAGAACACCAGUGGCGAAGGCGGUCUACUGGACAGUAACUGACGCUUAGGCGCGAAAGCUAGGGGAGCGAAC
RNAcentral lists this ribosomal RNA (250 nucleotides) under uncultured prokaryote. RNAcentral describes it as "partial 16S ribosomal RNA". It matches the Rfam family "Bacterial small subunit ribosomal RNA", at positions 524 to 773 of the family's 1533-position model. The record is from RNAcentral.